RNAcentral lists this ribosomal RNA (253 nucleotides) under uncultured bacterium. RNAcentral describes it as "partial 16S ribosomal RNA". It matches the Rfam family "Bacterial small subunit ribosomal RNA", at positions 524 to 776 of the family's 1533-position model. The record is from RNAcentral.
UACGGGGGGGGCAAGCGUUGUUCGGAAUUACUGGGCGUAAAGGGCUCGUAGGUGGCCAACUAAGUCAGACGUGAAAUCCCCCGGCUUAACCUGGGAACUGCGUCUGAUACUGGAAGGCUUGAGUGCGGGAGAGGGAUGUGGAAUUCCAGGUGUAGCGGUGAAAUGCGUAGAUAUCUGGAGGAACACCGGUGGCGAAGGCGGCAUCCUGGACCGACACUGACGCUGAGGCGCGAAAGCUAGGGUAGCAAACGGG